CAGUCCGCGGUAAUACAGAGGGUGCGAGCGUUAAUCGGAUUUACUGGGCGUAAAGCGUGCGUAGGCGGCUUCUUAAGUCGGAUGUGAAAUCCCUGAGCUUAACUUAGGAAUUGCAUUCGAUACUGGGAAGCUAGAGUAUGGGAGAGGAUGGUAGAAUUCCAGGUGUAGCGGUGAAAUGCGUAGAGAUCUGGAGGAAUACCGAUGGCGAAGGCAGCCAUCUGGCCUAAUACUGACGCUGAGGUACGAAAGCAUGGGGAGCAAACAGGAUUAGAUACCCCCGUAGUCCCUGUCUCUUAUACAC
RNAcentral lists this ribosomal RNA (301 nucleotides) under uncultured bacterium. RNAcentral describes it as "partial 16S ribosomal RNA". It matches the Rfam family "Bacterial small subunit ribosomal RNA", at positions 512 to 809 of the family's 1533-position model. The record is from RNAcentral.